CAGGGGAUCAAGCUUGAAGAGCAAAGGCCAGGACCCCAGAAGAAUAAGGAUGACUAUAUCCCGUACCCCAGCAUUGAUGAGGUUGUGGAGAAGGGAGGCCCAUACCCUCUGGUCAUCCUUCCCCAGUUUGGGGGCUAUUGGAUCGAGGACCCAGAGAACGUGGGCACCCCGACAUCACUGGGCAGCAGUAUCUGUGAGGAGGAGGAAGAGGACAGCCUCAGCCCCAACACAUUUGGCUACAAGCUCGAGUGCAAGGCCGAAGCAAGGGCCUACCGCAGGCACUUCUUAGGGAAGGAUCAUCUAAACUUUUACUGUACUGGCAGCAGCCUGGGGAACUUGAUCCUGUCCAUCAAGUGUGAGGAAGCAGAGGGGAUUGAGUACCUUCGGAUCAUUCUCAGGU
Castor canadensis (American beaver) is the source of this 400-nucleotide non-coding RNA. NCBI's taxonomy places the organism in Eukaryota, Metazoa, Chordata, Mammalia, Rodentia, Castoridae. The record is from RefSeq and is a predicted model, not a curated record.